CCCAGACUCCUACGGGAGGCAGCAGUGGGGAAUAUUGCACAAUGGGGGAAACCCUGAUGCAGCGACGCCGCGUGAGUGAAGAAGUAUUUCGGUACGUAAAGCUCUAUCAGCAGGGAAGAAAAAAAGUCCUUUGGACUUUGGACGGUACCUGACCAAGAAGCCCCGGCUAACUACGUGCCAGCAGCCGCGGUAAUACGGAGGAUGCGAGCGUUAUCCGGAUUUAUUGGGUUUAAAGGGUGCGCAGGCGGAAGAUCAAGUCAGCGUUAAAAUUGGGAGGCUCACCCUCUUCGAGCCGUUGAAACUGGUUUUCUUGAGUGAGCGAGAAGUAUGCGGAAUGCGUGGUGUAGCGGUGAAAUGCAUAGAUAUCACGCAGAACUCCGAUUGCGAAGGCAGCAUACCGGCGCUCAACUGACGCUCAUGCACGAAAGUGUGGGUAUCGAACAGGAUUAGAUACCCUUGUAG
This 462-nucleotide ribosomal RNA is filed under the name uncultured bacterium. Its description in RNAcentral is "bacterial SSU rRNA". It matches the Rfam family "Bacterial small subunit ribosomal RNA", at positions 330 to 793 of the family's 1533-position model. The record is from RNAcentral.